This 429-nucleotide ribosomal RNA is filed under the name Chloroflexota bacterium. Its description in RNAcentral is "Chloroflexi bacterium partial 16S ribosomal RNA". It matches the Rfam family "Bacterial small subunit ribosomal RNA", at positions 355 to 776 of the family's 1533-position model. The record is from RNAcentral. Lineage: Bacteria; Bacillati; Chloroflexota.
UGGGGAAUAUUGCACAAUGGGCGCAAGCCUGAUGCAGCCAUGCCGCGUGUAUGAAGAAGGCCUUCGGGUUGUAAAGUACUUUCAGUCGGGAGGAAGGUGGUAAGGUUAAUAACCUUAUCAAUUGACGUUACCGACAGAAGAAGCACCGGCUAACUCCGUGCCAGCAGCCGCGGUAAUACGGAGGGUGCAAGCGUUAAUCGGAAUUACUUGGCGUAAAGCGCACGCAGGCGGUUUGUUAAGUCAGAUGUGAAAUCCCCGGGCUCAACCUGGGAACUGCAUCUGAUACUGGCAAGCUUGAGUCUCGUAGAGGGGGGUAGAAUUCCAGGUGUAGCGGUGAAAUGCGUAGAGAUAUGGAGGAAUACCGGUGGCGAAGGCGGCCCCCUGGACGAAGACUGACGCUCAGGUGCGAAAGCGUGGGGAGCAAACAGG